Nycticebus coucang (slow loris) is the source of this 5630-nucleotide long non-coding RNA. RefSeq lists it as uncharacterized. The record is from RefSeq and is a predicted model, not a curated record. The transcript has 7 exons. NCBI's taxonomy places the organism in Eukaryota, Metazoa, Chordata, Mammalia, Primates, Lorisidae.
UACCGCCCUCGGGUAGAGUGCCGUGGCGUCACACGGCUGACAGCAACCUCUAACUCUUGGGCUUACGCGAUUCUCCUGCCUCAGCCUCCAGAGCAGCUGGGACUACAGGCGCCCGCCACAACGCCCGGCUAGCAAAGAAUAAUUUCUAUUCCUUUAAAUUUACUGAGGUUAGACUUGUGACCUAAGAUGUGAUCGAUUUUGGAGUAUGUCCCGUGGGCUGAUGAGAAGAUUUUUCUAAAAAACAUUCCGGAAAGCAUUUUUGCAAAAAGUCUCUACCACGAGUGGCUGUCCGUAAUGGAGAAAAGCAGCGACAGACAGAAAAUUGAAAAAAUUAAAAGGCUAUUAGACCAGCUACCAAGAGCAAACGUUGUUCUCAUACGGUACGUGUUCCUGGUGUUAAGUAAUAUCGCUGAACUCUCCGCGGCAAAUGAAAUGGAUGCUUUACACUUAGGGGUGUGUAUGGCUCCAAGUAUUAUAUGGCAUCCUUCUGCAAGCAGAGAAGAAAUGACCUCUGCAGAAAAGCUUGUGGAAUUUGUGAUUAAAAACUGCCGCAACAUCUUUGGAGGACACGUCACUGCCCUGUUUGGAGAGUCAUCCGGAAUAUAAAAUACUCAGGAUAAACCCUCAGAUACAUCUAGCUUUCCAGAGAGCAAUACUUCCUCAUGUGAGAGCUUGAAGAAAAAAGCGACUGUGCUGCUGGCCCACAGUGUGAUGAAUCAAAGAAAAUCGUCCAAUUAAAUUGAAGCAUUGACUCGCUUAUAAUGUUUCUGGACUCUGGCCUUGAUGCCCUUGAAUUCUAAAUGAGCUUCAGAGCCUCCUGUAUGACUUUUAGUUUAGGUGGACCAGCCUCCUAAAGACAAGCCGAUGGAUGUAAUAAUGUGCAGAGAUAUUCCACCACAGAAUCCUGCCAAGAUUCUGUCUGGCACUUGUCCACAGCUGCAGCAUAUGUUAAAAAAAGAAAAUAGAAAAUGCUGUAAGCUGUCCUGUAUAAGCUCCACCUGAUCUACAAGGCUAAUUCUAUCACAUUAACAGCUGUGGCUCACCUGUAGCCCUAGCUACUUGGGAGCUGAUUUCCCAGCAGAAACUUUGUAGGACAGAUGAAGAGUUCCUAUCUUGAAUGCACUUCAACAAAUUUCUGACAGUGUAGCAUUCUUUAACCUGCAAACUACAGUUCGUAUUUGAUGGAGGAAUCAAAUCUUCUCCUGACAUGCAAAAAAAAGUGAAGCUGAAUAGCUCUAUCUUGAGAAAAUACAUCUAACUUCCAUGAAGAAAUAAAGACAGAGGAUAAAAAGUUGGAAAAGUUUGAAACUAAGCAUGAAAGUGCACAAUCAAAGUCAGGCCAUUCAACACAAUGAGGAGGAGGAAGAGGAGGAUGAGGAAGAGGAGGACGAGGAAGAGGAGGAAGCAGAGGAGGAGAAGGAGGAGUCCAAACCAAGAGUGAAAAUGAUACUGCUAAUGUUUUUAAUCUCAGAUUGAUUAUUCAGUAUGAAUUACUAAAAAGUUAAUAAAUCGUUCACCAAGUUGAUUAUUGGGGAGGAUUAAAAAGUUUAGAUAAAAGAAUGCAAUGAAAAUGAUCUGAAUUUCUAGCCAAAAAGUCAUGGCUGUUCCAUCAUGAAAAAGCACCAGUUCACGCAGCACUGUCUGUGAGGGAGUUAAGAGCAAGCAACAUCAUUUUCACUCUUGGUUUGGACUCCUCCUUCUCCUUCUCCUCUUCCUCCUCCUCUUCUUCCUCCUCUUCUUCUUCCUCCUCCUCCUCUUCCUCCUCCUCCUCUUCACCCUCCUCUUCCUUCUUCUCCUCCACCUCUUCCUUUCCCUCAUCUUUUUCCUCCUCCUCGUCUUCUUCAUCCUCCUUUUCCUCCUCUUCCUCUUCCUCCUUCUCCUCCUCCUCUUCUUCCUCCUCUUCCUACUCCUCUUCCUCCUCGUGUUCCUCCUCUUCCUCCUCCUCUCCCUCUUCCUAUUCCUCCUCUUUGUUUUCCUCUUCCUCUGCCUCUUAUUCUUCCUCAUAUUCCUCCCCUUUCUCUUCUUCCUCCACUUCCUGCUCAUUCACUGGGUAAAAAUUUAGAAAACAAUAUUAUUUUAUACUAUUGUAAAUCCUAAGAACCUGGAAGUUGUAGUUCUCAUUGCAGAUACCAGUGACUUUAAAGCAGCAAAAGUAAAAUUAGACAUAUUAUAAUUGUUCUGAAAACCAUGUUUGCAAACAAUCCAGGUUUGGGGUUGUUUUAUCACUGCUUAAAAAAAAAAUGAAAUACCAAUACAAGCCUGAAACUAAGCAUCAAAGUGCACAACGGAAGUCAGGCAAUUCUCCACAAGAAGAGGAGGAUGCAGAGGAGAACAAGGAGGAUGACAAUAAGGAGGAGGAGGAGCUGAAAUGAGCAGGAAAGAGUGGAAGAAAGAAGAGCAGGAGUGGAAUUGGAGGAGGUAGAUUAGGAGGAGGAAAAAAAGAAAGAAGAGAAGGAAGAAGAGGAGGAAGAGAAGGUGAAGGAGGAGAAAGAGGAGGAGGAGGAAAAGGAGGAGAAGGAGGAGGAAAAAGAUACGGAGGAGGAAGAGGAGGAGGAGAAGAAGGAAGAGGAAGAUGUAGAGAAGGAGGAGCAGGAAGAGGAGGAGGAGGAAGAAGAAUAGGAGGAGGAAGAAGAGGAGGAGGAAGAGGAGAAGGAGAAGGAGGAGUCCAAACCAAGAGUGAAAAUGAUGUUGCUUGCUCUUAACUUCCUCACAGACAGUGCUGUGUGAACUGGUGCUUUUUCAUGAUGGAAGAGCCAUGACUUUUUGGCUAAAAAUUCAGACCUUUUUCAUUGCAUUCUUUUAUCUAAACUUUUUAAUCCUCCCCAAUAAUCAACUUGGUGAACGAUUUAUUAACUUUUUAGUAAUUCAUACUGAAUAAUCAAUCUGAGAUUAAAAACAUUAGCAGUAUCAUUUUCACUCUUGGUUUGGACUCCUCCUUCUCCUCCUCUUCUUCCUCCUCUUCCUGCUCCUCCUCUUCCUCCUCGUGUUCCUCCUCUUCCUCCUCCUCUCCCUCUUCCUAUUCCUCCUCUUCCUUUUCCUCUUCCUCUGCCUCUUGCUCUUCCACAUCUUCCUCCUUUUUCUCUUCUUCCUCCACUUCCUGCUCAUUCACUGGGUAAAAGUUUGGAAAACAAUAUUAUUUUAUACUAUUGAAAAUCCUAAGAACCUGGAAGUUGUAGUUCUCAUGGCAGAUACCAAUGACUUUAAAGCAGCAAAAGUAAAAUUAGACAAAAAUACAUAUUAUAAUUGUUCUGAAAAAUAUGUUUGCAAACAAUCCAGGAUUGGGGUUGUUUUAUCACUGCUGAAAAAUAAAAUGAAAUACCAAUACAAGCCUGAAAAUAAGCAUCAAAGUGCACAAUGGAAGUCAGGCAAUUCUCCACAAGAAGAGGAGGAUGCAGAGGAGAACAAGGAGGAUUAACAUAAGGAGGAGGAGGAGCUGAAAUGAGCAGAAAAGAGUGGAAGAAAGAAGAGCAGGAGUGGAAUUGGAGGAGGUAGAUUAGGAGGAGGAAGAAGAGAAAGAAGAGAAGGAGCAAGAGGAGGAGGAAGAGAAGGAGAAGGAAGAGGAGGAGGAGAAAGAGAAGAAGAGGAAGAGGAGGUGGAGGAAAAAGAUGAGGAGGAGGAAGAAGAGGAGGAGGAAGAGUAGGAUGAAGAGGAAGAGGAGGAAGAGGAAUACGAGGAAGAGGAGGAGGAAGAGGAGAAAGAGAAGGAGGAGUCCAAACCAAGAGUGAAAAUGAUAUUGCUAAAGUUUUUGAUCUCAGAGUAAUUAUUCAGUAUGAAUUUGUUAAAAAAAUAAACAAAUGGUUUACCAAGUUGAGUUUGGGAAGUAUUAAAAAGGCUAGAUAAAAAAAAAAUCAACAGAAAAGGUCUGAAUUUGUAGCCAAAAAGUCAUAGCUCUUCCAUGAUGACAAGGCACCAGAUCACAUAGCACUGUCUGUGAGGGAGUUAAUAGUGAGCAACAUCAUUUUCACUCUUGGUUUGGCCUCCACCUCCUCCUCCUGCUCCUCCUGCUCCUCCUCCUCUUCCUCUUCUUCAUCUUUCUCCCCCUCUUCCUCCUGAUCUUCAUCAUCCUCCCUACUUGUCUCAUCUGUCCAUGAUGACUUAUUCCUUUCUGUGAAGGUAAUGAAAACAUUGAAAGGAAAACAUUUUGAUGAUAUUCAGGACAUCAACAGUAAUAUGAGAUUAACUCUAAUGGCCAUUCCAGAAAAAGAUACUAGACAUCACCAAAGGACUAAUAACCAGAAUAUAUAGGUGUUCAAGAACAUCUUGAGGAAUGCAUCUUCACGGUUCCAGAUGGCAUCCUUUUACUUCCAUUCCAUGAAGUCGUAUAAAGAUAAAGACCUUUCUGGCUAAGAAAGGAGGCAGAUCUCUUGAAGGCAAAGCAGAAUUACCAGUGUGCUGAAUCACUGCCAAUCCCUGGCCAUUGAAUUUAGAUCUGAAAGAGGCCCUGGCUCUGAACAGGCACCUUGCGAAUCAGAAGAGAAGAAAACAAAGCCAUGAUGCAGUCAUCAAACGUGGAGACCUAUGAUAUGGAUACUGAAAGUGAAUCUAAGAAGAUAGCCCAUGACAUCAGAUGAGGAGGAUUAUGAUCAUGUGUGUUUAUACCCAGAAGACCAAAAAGCACAUCAUAACAAAGAUAUUUGUACCAGAAUGUUUAUUGCAGCUCAAUUCAUAAUUGCUAAGUCAUGGAAGAAGUCCUCAGUUUUUCUUUUUACUGAAGUACACCCUUUAAAAGCUUGCUAUGACAUGAUUUGUGUGUGGUAAAAAUACCAAACUUUAUUUUUAAAAAAAUAUUUUUAUUUUGUUUUCACACUUGACUAAUACUUCUAGGACAGCAAUUGUUUUCCUUCAUCAACUUUGAAGAUCUUGUUCCACUGUCUUUUGGCAUCUCUUGUUGCUGAUGAGAAGACCACUGCAGGACUAAAUUAUAGGAAAUCUUUUUUCUUUGUUUGCCUUUGACAUUUUCUCUGUUGUUGAUAUUCUGAUGGUUUACCAUUAAUGCGAUCAUGGGGCAUGAUCAUAGUGCUAAUUUAUUUUAUUUACAUCUUCUUCUUUAGUUCUAGUAAAUUCUCCACCAUCACCUCUUCACAUUUGCCUCUUCUUAUUCUUUCUCUUCUCUCCUUCUACAACUUUUAUUAGAUGUUAAUUUCUUAACUUGGUGUUCUGCACAAACUAAUACUGUGAAGUCACAGUGAGGAACUGAUUUAUUUCAUUUUAUUUUAAUUAAUUUAAACUUAAAUAGCCUCACAUGGCUUAGAAAUUAAAGUUUAGAAAGAACAGCUCUAAAUAAAUUUUAAAGUAUGUGUGUGUUAUAUGUGCAUGUUAUAACACAGCAAGAAAGUCUUCACCAGAGGCACCCUCAGACUUGAACUCCCUAGUCUCCAGAAUUAGACAAAUAAAUUUCUAUCGUCUCAGGUAAUCUCAGUUAUUCUUUUAAAUUUCUCUUAAAUUUCUCAGGUCUCUAUAGUCUCAGGUAUUCUUUUACAGCAGCACAAAAUGGACUAAGACAAUAGGUAUGCAAAUGUGUAUACAUACAUAUAUGUGUAUAUACACACACGCACACACACAUAUACAUGAAUGUGUGUAGGCACAUACACACGUGUACAUACAAAUAAGUCAUAGAGGACAAAAUAAGU